This 164-nucleotide ribosomal RNA is filed under the name uncultured bacterium. RNAcentral's name for it is "partial 16S ribosomal RNA". It matches the Rfam family "Bacterial small subunit ribosomal RNA", at positions 1338 to 1500 of the family's 1533-position model. The record is from RNAcentral.
GUAAUCGCGCAUCAGCCAUGGCGCGGUGAAUACGUUCCCGGGCCUUGUACACACCGCCCGUCACACCAUGGGAGUCGGUAAAACCCGAAGCCUGUAGUCUAACCGCAAGGAGGACGCAGUCGAAGGUGGGAUUGAUGACUGGGGUGAAGUCGUAACAAGGUAAC